GAUGAACGCUAGCUACAGGCUUAACACAUGCAAGUCGAGGGGAAACGAUAGAGAAAGCUUGCUUUUUCUAGGCGUCGACCGGCGCACGGGUGAGUAACGCGUAUCCAACCUGCCCACCACUUGGGGAUAACCUUGCGAAAGUAAGACUAAUACCCAAUGAUAUCCCACGAAGGCAUCCGAAUGGGAUUAAAGAUUUAUCGGUGAUGGAUGGGGAUGCGUCUGAUUAGCUUGUUGGCGGGGUAACGGCCCACCAAGGCGACGAUCAGUAGGGGUUCUGAGAGGAAGGUCCCCCACAUUGGAACUGAGACACGGUCCAAACUCCUACGGGAGGCAGCAGUGGGGAAUAUUGGUCAAUGGGCGCAAGCCUGAACCAGCCAAGUAGCGUGAGGGAAGACUGCCCUACGGGUUGUAAACCUCUUUGUUUGGGAAUAAGUGUGGGACGCGUCCCGCAUUGCAUGUACCAUUUGAAUAAGGACCGGCUAAUUCCGUG
This 490-nucleotide ribosomal RNA is filed under the name uncultured bacterium. Its description in RNAcentral is "bacterial SSU rRNA". It matches the Rfam family "Bacterial small subunit ribosomal RNA", at positions 28 to 507 of the family's 1533-position model. The record is from RNAcentral.